RNAcentral lists this ribosomal RNA (433 nucleotides) under uncultured bacterium. Its description in RNAcentral is "partial 16S ribosomal RNA". It matches the Rfam family "Bacterial small subunit ribosomal RNA", at positions 29 to 507 of the family's 1533-position model. The record is from RNAcentral.
AAUGAACGCUGGCGGCAUGCCUAACACAUGCAAGUCGAACGAAGGCUUCGGCCUUAGUGGCGCACGGGUGCGUAACGCGUGGGAAUCUGCCCUUGGGUUCGGAAUAACAGUUAGAAAUGACUGCUAAUACCGGAUGAUGUCGUAAGACCAAAGAUUUAUCGCCCAAGGAUGAGCCCGCGUAGGAUUAGCUAGUUGGUGGGGUAAAGGCCUACCAAGGCGACGAUCCUUAGCUGGUCUGAGAGGAUGAUCAGCCACACUGGGACUGAGACACGGCCCAGACUCCUACGGGAGGCAGCAGUGGGGAAUAUUGGACAAUGGGCGAAAGCCUGAUCCAGCAAUGCCGCGUGAGUGAUGAAGGCCUUAGGGUUGUAAAGCUCUUUUACCCGGGAUGAUAAUGACAGUACCGGGAGAAUAAGCGCCGGCUAACUUCGUG